GUGCUUGUUCAGGCAGCGCAUAUGAAAAAUUGGAAUUGAUACAGAGAAGAUUAGCAUGGCCCCUGCGAAAGGAUGACACGCAAAUUCGUGAAGCGUUUCCACAUUUU
RNAcentral lists this small nuclear RNA (107 nucleotides) under Seriola lalandi dorsalis. Lineage: Eukaryota; Metazoa; Chordata; Actinopteri; Carangiformes; Carangidae. The record is from RNAcentral.